This 253-nucleotide ribosomal RNA is filed under the name uncultured bacterium. Its description in RNAcentral is "partial 16S ribosomal RNA". It matches the Rfam family "Bacterial small subunit ribosomal RNA", at positions 524 to 776 of the family's 1533-position model. The record is from RNAcentral.
UACGAAGGGGGCUAGCGUUGCUCGGAGUCACUGGGCGUAAAGGGCGCGUAGGCGGCCAUUCAAGUCAGAGGUGAAAGCCCAAGGCUCAACCUUGGAAUUGCCUUUGAUACUGUUUGGCUUGAGACCGGAAGAGGUUAGUGGAACUGCGAGUGUAGAGGUGAAAUUCGUAGAUAUUCGCAAGAACACCAGUGGCGAAGGCGGCUAACUGGUCCGGUUCUGACGCUGAGGCGCGAAAGCGUGGGGAGCAAACAGG